Molecule: long non-coding RNA, 602 nt
Organism: Varroa destructor (honeybee mite)
Lineage: Eukaryota; Metazoa; Arthropoda; Arachnida; Mesostigmata; Varroidae
Source: RefSeq, a predicted model, not a curated record
UUGACAAGUGGCUUUUUGACCAGUUUUUAGUCUGCUCCUUUGUACUAUUUUACACAAAUGACAAUUUGUCACUCAAAUUAUGCGUCAUUUUGUUAGACUCACGAGCGAUUUGUUUAAAGCAAACUCCUUUCGUCUAAAGCAGUUCACGACGGUGUUGCAGAAGAGCUCAUAGUAAACGUAAUGUGUUCAAACGCCCUUAAACGGCAAUUCUUUUCCUUGGAUCGAAGUAUCUAGGCAGGGACGCUUCGAUCGCAACGUUCAAGCUAAUAUGCUGUUGUUCGGACCUCUGCGAUAAGGUGAUGAUGGGCUGGCGUGAUUCCUGAUGAGCGCCAUAGCAAAGAUCAUGUAGUAAACUUGUGCGGUUUUCUGUGAUAUUCUGCUUCCUCAUUUGCACUAUCGAAAAAACCUUAUAGGAAACGGCUUUACGCUUCGUACUGCCUCUGGACUAGCAAAGCGUCCUUAGCUUACAGCCUUUUGGUAUCUCAUCGAAGGCGCGCAUGUUGUCUUGUAGAAACCACCCAACAUCACAUGCAAGGAAACGGCUUCCGUGACAAUGACUAGAUUCGCGCUACGAAUUAAAUAUUUAACGAUGCUUUCUUUCG